UACUGCGUGCGUGAGUGAAGCCACUC
This 26-nucleotide non-coding RNA is filed under the name Mus musculus (house mouse). The record is from RNAcentral. Lineage: Eukaryota; Metazoa; Chordata; Mammalia; Rodentia; Muridae.